RNAcentral lists this ribosomal RNA (556 nucleotides) under Meyerozyma guilliermondii. Its description in RNAcentral is "partial large subunit ribosomal RNA". It matches the Rfam family "Eukaryotic large subunit ribosomal RNA", at positions 87 to 660 of the family's 3401-position model. The record is from RNAcentral. Lineage: Eukaryota; Fungi; Ascomycota; Pichiomycetes; Serinales; Debaryomycetaceae.
CGGCGAGUGAGCGGCAAAAGCUCAAAUUUGAAAUCUGGCGCCUUCGGUGUCCGAGUUGUAAUUUGAAGAUUGUAACCUUGGGGUUGGCUCUUGUCUAUGUUUCUUGGAACAGGACGUCACAGAGGGUGAGAAUCCCGUGCGAUGAGAUGCCCAAUUCUAUGUAAGGUGCUUUCGAAGAGUCGAGUUGUUUGGGAAUGCAGCUCUAAGUGGGUGGUAAAUUCCAUCUAAAGCUAAAUAUUGGCGAGAGACCGAUAGCGAACAAGUACAGUGAUGGAAAGAUGAAAAGAACUUUGAAAAGAGAGUGAAAAAGUACGUGAAAUUGUUGAAAGGGAAGGGUUUGAGAUCAGACUCGAUAUUUUGUGAGCCUUGCCUUCGUGGCGGGGUGACCCGCAGCUUAUCGGGCCAGCAUCGGUUUGGGCGGUAGGAUAAUGGCGUAGGAAUGUGACUUUACUUCGGUGAAGUGUUAUAGCCUGCGUUGAUGCUGCCUGCCUAGACCGAGGACUGCGAUUUUAUCAAGGAUGCUGGCAUAAUGAUCCCAAACCGCCCGUCUUGAAAC